This 2077-nucleotide ribosomal RNA is filed under the name Salmonella enterica. RNAcentral describes it as "partial 23S ribosomal RNA". It matches the Rfam family "Bacterial large subunit ribosomal RNA", at positions 745 to 2803 of the family's 2925-position model. The record is from RNAcentral. Lineage: Bacteria; Pseudomonadati; Pseudomonadota; Gammaproteobacteria; Enterobacterales; Enterobacteriaceae.
UUGAAGGUUGGGUAACACUAACUGGAGGACCGAACCGACUAAUGUUGAAAAAUUAGCGGAUGACCUGUGGCUGGGGGUGAAAGGCCAAUCAAACCGGGAGAUAGCUGGUUCUCCCCGAAAGCUAUUUAGGUAGCGCCUCGUGAAUUCAUCUCCGGGGGUAGAGCACUGUUUCGGCUAGGGGGCCAUCCCGGCUUACCAACCCGAUGCAAACUGCGAAUACCGGAGAAUGUUAUCACGGGAGACACACGGCGGGUGCUAACGUCCGUCGUGAAGAGGGAAACAACCCAGACCGCCAGCUAAGGUCCCAAAGUCAUGGUUAAGUGGGAAACGAUGUGGGAAGGCCCAGACAGCCAGGAUGUUGGCUUAGAAGCAGCCAUCAUUUAAAGAAAGCGUAAUAGCUCACUGGUCGAGUCGGCCUGCGCGGAAGAUGUAACGGGGCUAAACUAUGCACCGAAGCUGCGGCAGCGACACUGUGUGUUGUUGGGUAGGGGAGCGUUCUGUAAGCCUGUGAAGGUGUGUCGUGAGGCAUGCUGGAGGUAUCAGAAGUGCGAAUGCUGACAUAAGUAACGAUAAAGCGGGUGAAAAGCCCGCUCGCCGGAAGACCAAGGGUUCCUGUCCAACGUUAAUCGGGGCAGGGUGAGUCGACCCCUAAGGCGAGGCCGAAAGGCGUAGUCGAUGGGAAACGGGUUAAUAUUCCCGUACUUGGUGUUACUGCGAAGGGGGGACGGAGAAGGCUAUGUUGGCCGGGCGACGGUUGUCCCGGUUUAAGCGUGUAGGUGUGUGUUCCAGGUAAAUCCGGUUCACUUUAACACUGAGGCGUGACGACGAGGCACUACGGUGCUGAAGCAACAAAUGCCCUGCUUCCAGGAAAAGCCUCUAAGCAUCAGGUAACAUCAAAUCGUACCCCAAACCGACACAGGUGGUCAGGUAGAGAAUACCAAGGCGCUUGAGAGAACUCGGGUGAAGGAACUAGGCAAAAUGGUGCCGUAACUUCGGGAGAAGGCACGCUGACACGUAGGUGAAGUGAUUUACUCAUGGAGCUGAAGUCAGUCGAAGAUACCAGCUGGCUGCAACUGUUUAUUAAAAACACAGCACUGUGCAAACACGAAAGUGGACGUAUACGGUGUGACGCCUGCCCGGUGCCGGAAGGUUAAUUGAUGGGGUCAGCGCAAGCGAAGCUCCUGAUCGAAGCCCCGGUAAACGGCGGCCGUAACUAUAACGGUCCUAAGGUAGCGAAAUUCCUUGUCGGGUAAGUUCCGACCUGCACGAAUGGCGUAAUGAUGGCCAGGCUGUCUCCACCCGAGACUCAGUGAAAUUGAACUCGCUGUGAAGAUGCAGUGUACCCGCGGCAAGACGGAAAGACCCCGUGAACCUUUACUAUAGCUUGACACUGAACAUUGAGCCUUGAUGUGUAGGAUAGGUGGGAGGCUUUGAAGUGUGGACGCCAGUCUGCAUGGAGCCGACCUUGAAAUACCACCCUUUAAUGUUUGAUGUUCUAACGUGGACCCGUGAUCCGGGUUGCGGACAGUGUCUGGUGGGUAGUUUGACUGGGGCGGUCUCCUCCUAAAGAGUAACGGAGGAGCACGAAGGUUGGCUAAUCCUGGUCGGACAUCAGGAGGUUAGUGCAAUGGCAUAAGCCAGCUUGACUGCGAGCGUGACGGCGCGAGCAGGUGCGAAAGCAGGUCAUAGUGAUCCGGUGGUUCUGAAUGGAAGGGCCAUCGCUCAACGGAUAAAAGGUACUCCGGGGAUAACAGGCUGAUACCGCCCAAGAGUUCAUAUCGACGGCGGUGUUUGGCACCUCGAUGUCGGCUCAUCACAUCCUGGGGCUGAAGUAGGUCCCAAGGGUAUGGCUGUUCGCCAUUUAAAGUGGUACGCGAGCUGGGUUUAGAACGUCGUGAGACAGUUCGGUCCCUAUCUGCCGUGGGCGCUGGAGAACUGAGGGGGGCUGCUCCUAGUACGAGAGGACCGGAGUGGACGCAUCACUGGUGUUCGGGUUGUCAUGCCAAUGGCACUGCCCGGUAGCUAAAUGCGGAAGAGAUAAGUGCUGAAAGCAUCUAAGCACGAAACUUGCCCCGAG